RNAcentral lists this ribosomal RNA (501 nucleotides) under uncultured bacterium. Its description in RNAcentral is "partial 16S ribosomal RNA". It matches the Rfam family "Bacterial small subunit ribosomal RNA", at positions 29 to 523 of the family's 1533-position model. The record is from RNAcentral.
AUUGAACGCUGGCGGCAUGCCUUACACAUGCAAGUCGAACGGCAGCACGGGUGCUUGCACCUGGUGGCGAGUGGCGAACGGGUGAGUAAUACAUCGGAACGUACCUUAUCGUGGGGGAUAACGCAGCGAAAGCUGUGCUAAUACCGCAUACGCCCUGAGGGGGAAAGCGGGGGAUCGCAAGACCUCGCGCGAUUAGAGCGGCCGAUGCCUGAUUAGCUAGUUGGUGGGGUAAAAGCCCACCAAGGCGACGAUCAGUAGCUGGUCUGAGAGGACGAUCAGCCACACUGGGACUGAGACACGGCCCAGACUCCUACGGGAGGCAGCAGUGGGGAAUUUUGGACAAUGGGGGCAACCCUGAUCCAGCAAUGCCGCGUGAGUGAAGAAGGCCUUCGGGUUGUAAAGCUCUUUUGUCAGGGAAGAAACACCGGCUCUAACACAGUCCGGGAAUGACGGUACCUGAAGAAUAAGCACCGGCUAACUACGUGCCAGCAGCAGCCGCGG